Molecule: ribosomal RNA, 2546 nt
Filed under: Escherichia coli
Lineage: Bacteria; Pseudomonadati; Pseudomonadota; Gammaproteobacteria; Enterobacterales; Enterobacteriaceae
Description: bacterial LSU rRNA
Rfam family: Bacterial large subunit ribosomal RNA
Source: RNAcentral
UGUGAGCUCGAUGAGUAGGGCGGGACACGUGGUAUCCUGUCUGAAUAUGGGGGGACCAUCCUCCAAGGCUAAAUACUCCUGACUGACCGAUAGUGAACCAGUACCGUGAGGGAAAGGCGAAAAGAACCCCGGCGAGGGGAGUGAAAAAGAACCUGAAACCGUGUACGUACAAGCAGUGGGAGCCUCUUUAUGGGGUGACUGCGUACCUUUUGUAUAAUGGGUCAGCGACUUAUAUUCUGUAGCAAGGUUAACCGAAUAGGGGAGCCGAAGGGAAACCGAGUCUUAACUGGGCGUUAAGUUGCAGGGUAUAGACCCGAAACCCGGUGAUCUAGCCAUGGGCAGGUUGAAGGUUGGGUAACACUAACUGGAGGACCGAACCGACUAAUGUUGAAAAAUUAGCGGAUGACUUGUGGCUGGGGGUGAAAGGCCAAUCAAACCGGGAGAUAGCUGGUUCUCCCCGAAAGCUAUUUAGGUAGCGCCUCGUGAAUUCAUCUCCGGGGGUAGAGCACUGUUUCGGCAAGGGGGUCAUCCCGACUUACCAACCCGAUGCAAACUGCGAAUACCGGAGAAUGUUAUCACGGGAGACACACGGCGGGUGCUAACGUCCGUCGUGAAGAGGGAAACAACCCAGACCGCCAGCUAAGGUCCCAAAGUCAUGGUUAAGUGGGAAACGAUGUGGGAAGGCCCAGACAGCCAGGAUGUUGGCUUAGAAGCAGCCAUCAUUUAAAGAAAGCGUAAUAGCUCACUGGUCGAGUCGGCCUGCGCGGAAGAUGUAACGGGGCUAAACCAUGCACCGAAGCUGCGGCAGCGACGCUUAUGCGUUGUUGGGUAGGGGAGCGUUCUGUAAGCCUGCGAAGGUGUACUGUGAGGUAUGCUGGAGGUAUCAGAAGUGCGAAUGCUGACAUAAGUAACGAUAAAGCGGGUGAAAAGCCCGCUCGCCGGAAGACCAAGGGUUCCUGUCCAACGUUAAUCGGGGCAGGGUGAGUCGACCCCUAAGGCGAGGCCGAAAGGCGUAGUCGAUGGGAAACAGGUUAAUAUUCCUGUACUUGGUGUUACUGCGAAGGGGGGACGGAGAAGGCUAUGUUGGCCGGGCGACGGUUGUCCCGGUUUAAGCGUGUAGGCUGGUUUUCCAGGCAAAUCCGGAAAAUCAAGGCUGAGGCGUGAUGACGAGGCACUACGGUGCUGAAGCAACAAAUGCCCUGCUUCCAGGAAAAGCCUCUAAGCAUCAGGUAACAUCAAAUCGUACCCCAAACCGACACAGGUGGUCAGGUAGAGAAUACCAAGGCGCUUGAGAGAACUCGGGUGAAGGAACUAGGCAAAAUGGUGCCGUAACUUCGGGAGAAGGCACGCUGACAUGUAGGUGAAGUCCCUCGCGGAUGGAGCUGAAAUCAGUCGAAGAUACCAGCUGGCUGCAACUGUUUAUUAAAAACACAGCACUGUGCAAACACGAAAGUGGACGUAUACGGUGUGACGCCUGCCCGGUGCCGGAAGGUUAAUUGAUGGGGUUAGCGGUAACGCGAAGCUCUUGAUCGAAGCCCCGGUAAACGGCGGCCGUAACUAUAACGGUCCUAAGGUAGCGAAAUUCCUUGUCGGGUAAGUUCCGACCUGCACGAAUGGCGUAAUGAUGGCCAGGCUGUCUCCACCCGAGACUCAGUGAAAUUGAACUCGCUGUGAAGAUGCAGUGUACCCGCGGCAAGACGGAAAGACCCCGUGAACCUUUACUAUAGCUUGACACUGAACAUUGAGCCUUGAUGUGUAGGAUAGGUGGGAGGCUUUGAAGUGUGGACGCCAGUCUGCAUGGAGCCGACCUUGAAAUACCACCCUUUAAUGUUUGAUGUUCUAACGUUGGCCCCUAAUCGGGGUUGCGGACAGUGUCUGGUGGGUAGUUUGACUGGGGCGGUCUCCUCCUAAAGAGUAACGGAGGAGCACGAAGGUUGGCUAAUCCUGGUCGGACAUCAGGAGGUUAGUGCAAUGGCAUAAGCCAGCUUGACUGCGAGCGUGACGGCGCGAGCAGGUGCGAAAGCAGGUCAUAGUGAUCCGGUGGUUCUGAAUGGAAGGGCCAUCGCUCAACGGAUAAAAGGUACUCCGGGGAUAACAGGCUGAUACCGCCCAAGAGUUCAUAUCGACGGCGGUGUUUGGCACCUCGAUGUCGGCUCAUCACAUCCUGGGGCUGAAGUAGGUCCCAAGGGUAUGGCUGUUCGCCAUUUAAAGUGGUACGCGAGCUGGGUUUAGAACGUCGUGAGACAGUUCGGUCCCUAUCUGCCGUGGGCGCUGGAGAACUGAGGGGGGCUGCUCCUAGUACGAGAGGACCGGAGUGGACGCAUCACUGGUGUUCGGGUUGUCAUGCCAAUGGCACUGCCCGGUAGCUAAAUGCGGAAGAGAUAAGUGCUGAAAGCAUCUAAGCACGAAACUUGCCCCGAGAUGAGUUCUCCCUGACUCCUUGAGAGUCCUGAAGGAACGUUGAAGACGACGACGUUGAUAGGCCGGGUGUGUAAGCGCAGCGAUGCGUUGAGCUAACCGGUACUAAUGAACCGUGAGGCUUAACC